AGCGAACGCUGGCGGCGUGCCUAACACAUGCAAGUCGAACGGGCUGCGGCAGUGUAUCGUCGUAGCUAGUGGCAAACGGGUGAGUAACGCGUGGGUGACCUGCCUUCGAGUUGGGGAUGACCUCGGGAAACCGGGACUAAUACCGAAUACGAUCCAUCCUUCAGUGGAUGGAAGAAAGAUGCCUCGCAAGAGGUGUCGCUCUUAGAUGGGCCCCGCGUCCUAUCAGCUUGUUGGCGGGGUAAUGGCCCACCAAGGCGAUGACGGGUAGCUGGUCUGAGAGGACGAUCAGCCACACUGGAACUGAGACACGGUCCAGACUCCUACGGGAGGCAGCAGUGAGGAAUUUUCCGCAAUGGGCGAAAGCCUGACGGAGCGACGCCGCGUGAGGGAUGAA
This 394-nucleotide ribosomal RNA is filed under the name uncultured bacterium. Its description in RNAcentral is "bacterial SSU rRNA". It matches the Rfam family "Bacterial small subunit ribosomal RNA", at positions 29 to 412 of the family's 1533-position model. The record is from RNAcentral.